RNAcentral lists this long non-coding RNA (382 nucleotides) under Homo sapiens (human). Its description in RNAcentral is "non-protein coding lnc-BNIP1-1:1". Lineage: Eukaryota; Metazoa; Chordata; Mammalia; Primates; Hominidae. The record is from RNAcentral.
UUACAAAAAGGGCAAAGGAUAGAGCCGCUGCUCCCCAGACGACUCAAAAUGACUUUCAUGUGGAACACAGGAGGAGUGAGAAGGGCCUCCCAUUUAUUUACCAUCUACUAAGACGUUGUGUCCCUGUCACGUACCAGGAGUGCCUCUACUCUGGACAUCCAGGGACUUCGGAGAGCUGGAAGCAUAAGGACUGUGCAAUGACAGAAUCUGUGUUUUCUACCACACCCUGCCUGUGAAUAGUCCUAAUAUUUAAAAAGUGAGUAAACGGCCCGGCACGGUGGCUCACGCCUGUAAUCCCAGCACUUUGGGAGGCCGAGGCAGGUGGAUCACGAGGUCAGGAGAUCGAGACCAUCCUGGCCAACAUGGUGAAACCCCGUCUCUA